Molecule: long non-coding RNA, 428 nt
Filed under: Anas platyrhynchos platyrhynchos (common mallard)
Lineage: Eukaryota; Metazoa; Chordata; Aves; Anseriformes; Anatidae
Description: lncRNA (ENSAPLG00000021385.1)
Source: RNAcentral
GAAUGUUACAGUGAGCAGCUCUCCACUGUCCAGCCAUCCAGGAUGCUGGAAAUGUCCUGCUUACUGUGGCUUAGAAACAAACAUCACAGAGAUUCCGUAUUCACACUUCAAUCCAGAUUUGGGCAGUUAAAAAGAAAAGCAAAAUGUGAGAACUCUCCCUCAAAAUAUUCUGUGCUCAAGACUCCUGUGGAAACCUGCAGGAAGGCCAGGUAAUGAAGGAAUUAUAAAGAGGGUUGGGAAAGCACACGGCAUGGACAAAAGGUAAGAAAUUAGUAUUUCUGAUAUAAGGUCUUUCAACAUUGAAAAUUUGUACUCUGGUAAUAAUCAGCAAAAUAUAUUUUUUCCCCUCUCCUUAUGUUUAGGGGAUAUAGUCUUGCAGUUUAGCCUGGCAAACAGUUAAGCACCACACUGCCAUUCAGUCACUCCUC